UAUACGUACCAUUCACUGUCAAUUUCAGGGAAAUGGUUGCAGGAAUCCACUCAUGAUAGAGAGCCAGAUUUACCACCAAAUUUAGAGAAUAGAGAGGUUCUCAGAAAUAACAUUCCACUGCAAACCAUGGGAGAAGUGGCAGCACCUAGACUGUCAUGGAGAAUGAAGGACUCUCUUGGAGAUAAUGCAUCCAUACAGCAGCCUUACUCUGCAUUCACAACAUAUGGGAAUUCUCCAUCAGUUUCUCUUCCAUCAGAUGAACAGCCAAUUGUGCAGAGAUCAUGGCAAAGCAAUAAUCACCGGUUGCCUGGGAACCCAAAAGUUGGUGGCACAAAUGGGAGCUUCUCAGGAAUGAGCAGAGACUACAGCUUGCAUAACAGAGAGGGCAUUGAAGAGAGUUCUGCUAGUAAUCAGCCUCUAUAUAUGGACAGAAUGCAAGAUAGUUUUUGUAAAGGCCGCUAUCAAAAACAAAGUUUCAGGAUGAGUUCACCUCCAGCAUUUUCCUUUUACCCUCGCAACUCUGAUUCAUAUCUCUUCAACAACAUGUCCAGAGGGAGAAGUCCUUCCCCACAAGCAGGUGGAAGAAUAAGUCCUCUUAAGAAUACAUGGAAUGUUCCUGUAACCAUAGAUAUGCAAAAACAUCUCUGUUCUGGUGUCCAGGAAAUCUCUGUAGGAGCUCCAGGAUCAGUAUUUGUUUUUCAGGGGACAAAUCAAGAGAGUGCUGAUCCACUGCCAGUGGAUCUGCAGGUAGCUAAUUUGGACCAGAACAUUGAUGCUAGAGAAAUGAAACGCAUUCUGUUCACAGUGUUCAGGGAUCAUGUAAUGGUACUGCACAUAUCAGUGUUUGUACAGUCAGAUGGAAAUUUGGUAGCAUCUGUGCGUGUGCCAUCACAGCAAGAUGCUCAGUAUGCUAUAUCACAACUUCAUCGAAAGAAGAUUGGAGCUAAAAGAAUUAUAAUAUCUUAUGUCAAUGAUAAUCAGCCUUCACCUGAAAUUAAAAGAUCUAAGGUUAUCAUGCUACUUCAAGAAGUUCCUGGGAAAAAACUCCCUUUAUUCAAGUUUCGGGAAUUGUUUGAAAGACGCUUCAAUGAAACCAUAGGAGUGUCAGAAAUGUACAAUAUGAGGGAUAUUGUUACAGUCUCUGAUAGUUUCACUGGAAGAAUGGUAAUGCUUCAUCCUGAAUAUCGUCAUCUUCAGUCUCCAGACUUGCCAGAGGUUAUAGAGGAAACAGAAGGCAGCUGCUCUAGAUAUUGUAAAUUACACAGCUCUGAACCAGAUGAGUCUAUUGGAUGGGCUGAGCGAGACCAUAACACAAGCUUGCCUAAUGUUGGCUUAACAUUGCGGGAUCUUGGUGCUGCCAUUCAUGCUUUGUUGCAGUCUCACUCAGGCUUCCUGCCUCUUGCUAGUCUUGUUGAGUGUUAUCAGGCAGAGCUUGGUCCCUUAGAAGAAUGUGAAGGUGGUGUACCCCUUGAGCACUUGAUUUCUUGCUUGUCUGGCAUAUCCAUAGUGAUCACUGCUGCAGGAUUCAAGUAUAUUAAAUGGGCUGAAAAUAAAAUCUUGGAUGAGGCAGAUGAACUAGCACGAAGUGUAAGUCCUCCUCUUGUUGAGCAAUUGGCACUCUUUUCACGUGAACUGGUGGAUCUAUUUAAGACUUUUCCACAUUGUCGUCUUCCAUUUUCUAGAUUUAUACCAGCAUACCACCACCAUUUUGGUCGGCAAUGUAGAGUUGCUGAUUAUGGAUUCACUAAACUUGCUGAUUUAUUUGAUGCCCUACCCCAUAUCAUUCAAAUACUUGGAGAGGGAAACAAACGCAUUUUGACACUAGCCCACAAAGCACAAAUUAAGCGGUUUUCUUCCGAUCUGCUGAGAGUUUUGAAGGGACAGCCAACCAAGUCAAUCACGCUUGAAACUUUUUCUUCAGCUUAUGAAAAGGUUAUUAAUCGCCAGUGGAAUGUUGUUGAUUAUGGAGUUUUUGAUAUUGAAGACCUUUUGACAGAAGUUGGUGAGACUACUGUGAUAGUUACUAGGUCAGGUGCAGAGAUAACAGUUGCAAUACCUAAAAGAGAGCAGACAUCUGAGGAAAUAGAAAGAACAAGAUUGUUUGCUGCAGAAGUGGUAGAGCUCCUGCGUCACUCGCCACAGUGUAAGAUGCAGUUCAAUAGAUUUAUUCCUGCAUAUCAUCACCACUUUGGAAGGCAGUGCAGGGUGGCAGACUAUGGCUUCAGCAAACUCAUCGAACUCUUUGAAGCAAUACCAGACAUUGUACAAGUGUAUGAUGAUGAUGAUGAAGGGGAGAAACAGUUGCAACUCGUUGAACGUGAACGUAUUAGGGUGCUGGGAGAGCAAGUUGGUGCAGUUGUCAGAGGAGCACCCUGCCAGGCUAUAAAGAUUUCGGCCCUAACUCGAGUAUUUACUCGGUACUAUGGAUGCUCUCUUAAACCCUCACAGUAUGGAUCAAGUUCCCUAGUUGAAUUGAUUGGAAAACUUCGGAAUCAUGUUAAGAUGAUUGAAACAGAUGAUGAACCAAUAGUUGCAUUGGUGGAUCGUGGACAUGUCCAUGAAAUAAUGACAAGGGCUCGCACAAUUUUGUGGGAUGUUCCUGAAGGCUCUCUUACUCUGGACAAAUUUAUGGAGACCUACAAGGAACACUACAAUACAUCACCCAACUUGGAAAUAAUGAAGAAAGAUUUGGAAGACAUUGUCAUAAUUGAUGAUGAUAAAGAUCCAAAAAUAAGUCUUGUACCAUUGCAAUUUUUUGCAAGAGAUUUAUUGACUUUAUUGCAUGAAGCUGGAGGCCGCAUGAAUCUUACAAACUUUGACACUGCCUUUGUUGAUCGAUUUGGGGUUGCAUGUCGUCCAGCAGCAUAUGGUUUCCCAAAUAUUGUUGCAUUAGUUCAGUCCUUGGGAGAUCUGGUGACUGUUCGAGGGAAAGGAAUGAAAAGAAUUCUUGUACUCAAUCAAGAUUUUGUUCCUAUACCUUCCUUUUCAAACAUGAUUAGUCAAAGUGUAUAUGGAGAUGGUGGGAAUAGUGUGACUGCAAGUAACGAUCCCAGCCAACAUGCUUCAGCUUCACAGCAGCCUCUACCACACAGUGUUUCAAAUGCUGCACACUAUGAAUAUCAACGGUUAAUGCAGGAUUCCAGCACAAGUGCUCAUUUAGUUAUGAGUGUUAAUCCCUCCCCUCACCAUCAACAGUAUCAACCUUCUUCUCCUGUGGUAUACCCAGGCUCUCCUGCAACAAGUGGAGGUUCUAUGGUAUGGGGUCAGAUGUGGUCUCCUCAGUAUCCAGUAAUGCCACCACUUUCUCCUGCCCAUUAUAUGGUGCCAACAAUACCAGUGAGCUGGGGCAGUGUUUCAGCUUCUCCAGUGGGUGCUGUAAACUCAGAUGGUACUCCGGCUCAACUCCAGUCCAGCUUGGCACCUCCUCCAGUCUCAAUACAUACACUUGAUAAGCUUGUGAAACAGGUGCAGUUUGUCAGGGUAGCAAAGUAAGUGAUGCUUUCACCUCUCCACCAAAAGCCUGUGAACUCCCUACUCCUGAUCUUUUUACUCAGGUGCACCCACCAGACAUUCCACAUGCAGGGAUUGUUAAUUACUCAGGAGAGCAGAAAACUACAUGUAGGGAAGAGGAUCAACUGAUAACUGGAACACAAACAAUGUAAGUGGAAAAGCAGAAGUGAGUUUAGCUUCUGCCUUGCCAAAGCUUCAUACCAAAAGGAGAAUUGCUGCCCAAUUCACAUCCAAAUGAUAGGUUUCAGUAAUUUCUGAUGUACUAGUUUUCAUGACUGCCUUUUGCAACAACUUUAAUUUUUUUACUGAUGAGCAUUUACCAUAAUAUUUUCUAUAAUUAAAGAUAUUAAUAUUAUAAGUGAUUUUGAAAGAAAGCAAUUAUUUCUUAAAAUCUUAUUGCAUAUGUAACUUGAAAUGUAACACAACUUACUUUUCAUUCUUACUUCAUUUUGACAGUUUGGAGUUUUAAAUGUGUAUGACAAGCUGAGUAUUUUUACUUUUAUUAUAACUGGUUUCAUUGAGAAAUAUAAAUCUGAUCUCAAUUUCAUCUGAAUAUGGUGAAUAUUUUAUUAAUGAAAUGUGGCGUGUUUUUUCUGUGUAUCAGAUAAAUUAAGGUCUAUUGUUAGUGUAGUAAUGAUGAGAAUUAUUAUUGUCAUUUGUAACCUUGCAAAAUUUAUAAGUUUUGCCAUUAUGUGUAAUUUGAAUUGUUGAUGUGUUGUGAACUAUGCAUUAAUGCAGUUAGCAUUCUUUUAAAUGUGCUAUGCAGUUGUUGUAUAGUUUGCUUUAUUUUGUUUAAUAUUUCUUGAUAUACGUAAAUACAUUUGAGUUGUGAAAGAAAGCCAAAUAAGAUAUUUUUUGUAGACUUUAUAUAUUUGUUGUACAUUUUAUAUUACAUUAUGUUACUAAGUUGCUAAUUUUCAUUCUUGAUUAUGUGUGGAUAUAGAAGUACCAUUUCUCUCUCUCUCUCUCUCUCUCUCUCUCUCUCUCUCUCUCUCUCUCUCUCUCUCUCUCUCUCUCUCUCUCUGUACAACUGAGUAAGUGGUUUUCAUGGAUACUUCCAGUUCAAGGUUUAUAUUAUGAGAAGAGAUACAUCAAAACUGCUUUUCUUUCUGAAAGUUAUGUGCUAUCUGUGAUUAAUUCUAGCCAAAUGUUAGUAAUGUAGUCAAAUAAUUUAUUAAAAUUAGUUUUUGAAUAUCAAUGGAUGCUGAACUUAUAUUUUGCUAAUAAGUGGUUUGUAGAUAUCUAAUUCUUCAUAGCUUAUAGAAAGUCUAUGAGUAAAAACCUACUUGAGAUUCCUUAGGUUGAAUAAAUAAGAUUUUUAAAGUUAGUUAUGGUUUAUAACAGCUAUGAAAUUAAUUUUGUUUUAAGUAUGGGAGCCUGAAUGCUGUCAUGCUAUUUUGAACAUUACCUGCUUAUACCUUGAAAUCUAAGAAUACACAUGCAAUAGCUAUUGCACUAAAAUCUUUUCCAAGAUUCUAACAUACAAAACAAAGUGCCUUAAACAGUAAUGUUGAAAUAGAUAUUUCUUGUCUAUCAGUGUGGUGUAGAGGUAUUAUUAAAGAUACUGUUAGUGUUCAGUUCAUUGGUUGUGGGUAUCUCAGUGUUACACUGAAAUUUUCCUUGUUGUGGAACUUGCAAUAAAAAGUAACAAUGA
This is an RNA transcript of Portunus trituberculatus (swimming crab), 5164 nucleotides long. It is a transcript of the gene named meiosis regulator and mRNA stability factor 1-like, with no coding region annotated. The transcript has 17 exons. NCBI's taxonomy places the organism in Eukaryota, Metazoa, Arthropoda, Malacostraca, Decapoda, Portunidae. The record is from RefSeq and is a predicted model, not a curated record.